AGAACCUUCACAAAAACACAUGGAGCAACUGCGAAAAGAAAUGUCUGAGGAUAUACUAAAAACGUAUGUUCAACAAAGCCAACAACUGCUUCAUGUGUGCCACUGCUAAAGAAUCUGGAUGUGGCCCAAAGACUGACUAGGUUUUGCAUGCCAACGGUGGUUCCAUGUGCUGUGCCGAGGAAUGAAGACAAAAGACUUCAACAGAGUAAAGAACACAAACUGGAAGUGCAGUCUUUGUUGUUGAAAAUGUAUACUAUACCCCAUCCACACUGAAGAGGCUCUGACAUGUACAUCAACCAGGGUUAAUGUAUG
Long non-coding RNA from Oncorhynchus tshawytscha (Chinook salmon), 312 nucleotides. NCBI's taxonomy places the organism in Eukaryota, Metazoa, Chordata, Actinopteri, Salmoniformes, Salmonidae. The record is from Ensembl.